AACGAACGCUGGCGGCAUGCCUAACACAUGCAAGUCGAACGAGACCUUCGGGUCUAGUGGCGCACGGGUGCGUAACGCGUGGGAACCUGCCCUUAGGUUCGGAAUAACUCCCCGAAAGGGGUGCUAAUACCGGUUAAUGUCUUCGGACCAAAGAUUUAUCGCCUUUGGAUGGGCCCGCGUUGGAUUAGCUAGUUGGUAGAGUAAAAGCCUACCAAGGCGACGAUCCAUAGCUGGUCUGAGAGGAUGAUCAGCCACACUGGGACUGCGACACGGCCCAGACUCCUACGGGAGGCAGCAGUGGGGAAUAUUGGACAAUGGGAGAAAGCCUGAUCCAGCAAUGCCGCGUGAGUGAUGAAGGCCUUAGGGUUGUAAAGCUCUUUUACCUGGGAUGAUAAUGACAGUACCGGGAGAAUAAGCUCCGGCUAACUCCGUG
RNAcentral lists this ribosomal RNA (433 nucleotides) under uncultured bacterium. RNAcentral describes it as "partial 16S ribosomal RNA". It matches the Rfam family "Bacterial small subunit ribosomal RNA", at positions 29 to 507 of the family's 1533-position model. The record is from RNAcentral.